GGGAGGAUCUCUACGUCAAAAAUUUUUAAUUAACAAUUUUCUAGGAUUUUGCAUUCCAGUGUAUUGAAUUGAUGAAUAAUCAUGAUUAGAACGACAAAUCGUUAAAUAGUUUCCUAUUUUAUUCACUUAGUCUACAAAUAACUUUAUAACUUCCGAAUGUAAAUUAUUUUCCUAUGGAGCUUUUUAUAUUUUUUUUUACUCUCCCUUCCAGAAAAUUUACUUAAAAUUAAAAGUAUUUCGGUAUUAUAUAGUAAAAAUGGUUAAAAUAGUCAUUGUCUGAGUGUGAGUGUGGUAAAUGAAAAGUGAAGAAAGGUGUCUAGAAUAUUAUGUGAAUGUGAUGCUAGAAAAAAUGUAUUGAAUAUUUUUGGUUUCUUUUUAAAUAUUAGUUUUUUUUAUUAAUUUAAUGUGUCGUAUGGUUAGGUGAAAAGUAUUUUUUAUAACUAGAAAGUUAUAUAGCUUCGGAAUUGUUUAGUAAAACUUAUGUAUGUCUGAAGUUUCUCAAAAGUGACGCAAGAUGGCUACUUUUACAUUGUAGUUCUUGCAGUUAACCGGUCCCAAUAUUUUUUAAUUUUAUUAUUAUUACGCGUUGUGUAUUGUCGAGUGUCUUUAAAAUUGCUUUUUUUGCCGUUAAUAUUAAUAAAACUAAUAAGUGCCGGUGUGAAUAUAUAUUCGUAAUUUUAUAGUGAACUAAUUCUUAUACAUUUCAACAAUCGUUUAAAUAAAAUGAAAAAUAGUGUGUUUCAGUUGUUGCGUAAAUAAUAUAGUGCAAACAAAUAGUGGAGUGUUUAAAAGUGUUUGUGUUGUGUGUGCUUAUUCCUAAAGGAUUAUAAUGUUCGAGUUUGUAGCGGAGCAGCUCCUGGAGGAGAUCUUGUAUAGCUGAGUCGCAGUUAAUUUAUAUGAAGAAAAGUGUAAAGAAAAUUGGAAAGGAGUAUGAGCAGAGAAUGCGCGACGCUAGGAAAGCUCUUUCGGUUCUGAAGAUUGAGGAGGAACAAGUGCGGCGCAUAUACAUAAUCUCAACGAAGGAUCCGCGAUCG
Leptopilina boulardi is the source of this 1034-nucleotide long non-coding RNA. RefSeq lists it as uncharacterized. The transcript has 2 exons. The record is from RefSeq and is a predicted model, not a curated record. NCBI's taxonomy places the organism in Eukaryota, Metazoa, Arthropoda, Insecta, Hymenoptera, Figitidae.